Oreochromis aureus is the source of this 641-nucleotide long non-coding RNA. The record is from Ensembl. NCBI's taxonomy places the organism in Eukaryota, Metazoa, Chordata, Actinopteri, Cichliformes, Cichlidae.
UUUUUUAACAAACUUUUCCUAGAAAACUUCUGCAAAGAGCGGCAGUUAGGAGGCUUCAGGUUCCCUCGUACACCCAUCGGCUGGUUUGCAUAUUCUGAGGACAAAUGUGAAGAAGGAACGAGUGGUGCUGGUAAACCUCAGGCUUCAGCCAGGUGUUUGUCCAUGAAUGGAUCACCAGGUUUCAGCCCUCCACAGAUCUUCCAGUGUGACCUGACGCUCAGUGACAUACAAAAAAAUCUCACAAGUCCAGCUGAUUUAGAGACACUGGCGACCAGCACUCAGAUUCUGACAUCCAAAGCAGAAGAGCUGACGGCUGAAAAUGUUACAGCAGCGGCUGAGAUAGUCAACACACUGCUGCUGUCUGCAAACGCCACAGAGGCUGACGGUGACUCUGGACCAGCUCUCAGUGAACCUCAGCCUCAGUCAAAAUACAUCUCAAUCUCAGGUGGUUCAGCCAAACCUGGUGGUCCAGUCGGCACAGAUCCCUGCUGCAGACACUCACGGAGUCCAGUUCACGUCUCUCAGAGGGAUUUCUGGGAAUUUUUUGCCCAACAGAAUUCAUCUGAACACAAAUGCAACACAGGUCGUGGUGGAAAACAGUUUCAUAGCUGAUGCCCUCAUUUACAUACGAUUCCCACCAG